GACGAGGUGGCCGAGUGGUUAAGGCGAUGGACUGCUAAUCCGUUGUGCUCUGCACGCGUGGGUUCGAAUCCCAUCCUCAUAGGAAACA
Molecule: non-coding RNA, 88 nt
Organism: Trichomycterus rosablanca
Lineage: Eukaryota; Metazoa; Chordata; Actinopteri; Siluriformes; Trichomycteridae
Source: the annotation of a RefSeq genome assembly